This 92-nucleotide transfer RNA is filed under the name Streptomyces melanogenes. RNAcentral's name for it is "tRNA-Arg". Lineage: Bacteria; Bacillati; Actinomycetota; Actinomycetes; Kitasatosporales; Streptomycetaceae. The record is from RNAcentral.
GGUGCAGCUUGGUGAGGGCGCCCUGGGGGCGGCGGGCCCCCGUCGUGCGCCCGUGCGCCGUGCGGGCCCGCGAGCGCCGCCCGGCCGCGCCC